Molecule: ribosomal RNA, 465 nt
Filed under: uncultured bacterium
Lineage: Bacteria
Description: partial 16S ribosomal RNA
Rfam family: Bacterial small subunit ribosomal RNA
Source: RNAcentral
GACGAACGCUGGCGGCGUGCUUAACACAUGCAAGUCGUACGGUAAGGCCCUUUCGGGGGUACACGAGUGGCGAACGGGUGAGUAACACGUGAGUAACCUGCCCACAACUUUGGGAUAACGCUAGGAAACUGGUGCUAAUACUGGAUAUGUGCUCCUGCUGCAUGGUGGGGGUUGGAAAGCUCCGGCGGUUGUGGAUGGACUCGCGGCCUAUCAGCUUGUUGGUGGGGUAGUGGCCUACCAAGGCGGCGACGGGUAGCCGGCCUGAGAGGGUGACCGGCCACAGUGGGACUGAGAUACGGCCCAGACUCCUACGGGAGGCAGCAGUGGGGAAUAUUGCACAAUGGGCGCAAGCCUGAUGCAGCAACGCCGCGUGCGGGAUGACGGCCUUCGGGUUGUAAGCCGCUUUCAGCAGGGACGAAGCUUUUUGUGACGGUACCUGCAGAAGAAGCACCGGCUAACUACGUG